Molecule: long non-coding RNA, 258 nt
Filed under: Marmota monax (woodchuck)
Lineage: Eukaryota; Metazoa; Chordata; Mammalia; Rodentia; Sciuridae
Source: RNAcentral
GUGGUGGUGAGGGUGGUGGACGGAGAAGAUAAAAGAUGCUGCUGGGCUGCGGAUAUACCUCUUCAGGGGUAGAGCAUUUGCCCCACAUGCACAAGGCCCUGGGUUCAAUCCCAUCACUGGAAAACAAAAAGGAAGGAAGGAAGGAAAGAAGGAAGGAAGGAAGGAAAAGAAAAGCUACAAGAUGCUAUCUUUGUCCUCAAAGAGCCCUAAUCUAGAAGGUAAGGAAAUGUGGGCUGGGCAGCAGAUGGCCUUUCAGCC